AACUCAGUUGAGCCCUAAAAGUAUAACUUUACAACUAGUACUUUUUCUCAUUCAAUCGAACAAAGAGCAAAACCUAAUUUUAUUGUUCUAUUAUGCCACGGGAGUGUAAAUUUGGAACGAAUCGAUGUCAACGUUCACUAGACCCAAAACCGGAACAACAUUAGACAACUCAGUUGUCCCAUAACAGUAUAACUUUGCAACGAGUACUUUUUCUCAUUCUAUCGAAUAAGGAGUAAAAGCUUUCUAUUAUGCCCUGAGAGUGUAAAUUGAACGAAUCGAUGUCAACGUUCACAAGAACCAAAAUUGGAACAAAGUUAGGCUACUCAGUUGAGCCCUAAUAGUAUAACUUUGCAACCAGUACAUUUUUUCAUUCAAUCGAACAAAGUGCAAGAACUAAUUAUAUGGUUCUAUUAUGCCCCGAGAGUUUAAAUUUGGAACGAAUCGAUAUAAACGUUCACAAGACCCAAAAUCGGAACAAAGUUAGACUACUCAGUUGAGCCCUAAAAGUAUAACUUUACAACUAGUACUUUUUCUCAUUCGAUCGAACAAAGAGCAAAACCUAAUUUUAUUGUUCUAUUAUGCUCCGGGAGUGUAAAUUUGGAACGAAUCGAUGUCAACGUUUACAAGAACCAAAACCGGAACAAUAUUAGACUACUCAGUUGAGCGCUAACAGUAUAACUUUGCAACUAGUACUUUUUCUCAUUCAAUCGAUCAAAGAGCAAAACCUAAUUAUAUUCUUCUAUUAUGCCCCGAGAGUGUAAAUUUGGAACGAAUCGAUGUAAACGUUCACAAGAACCAAAACCGGAACAAAGUUAUACUACUCAGUUGAGCCCAAACAGUAUAACUUUGCAACUAGUACUUUUUCUCCUUCAAUCGAACAAAGAGCAAAACCAAAUUAUAUUGUUCUAUUAUACCCCGAGAGUGUAAAUUUGGAACGAAUCGAUGUCAACGUUCACAAGAACCAAAACCGGAACAAGAUUAGACUACUCAGUUGCGCCACAACAGUAUAACUUUGCAACGAUUACUUUUUCUCAUUCUAUCGAACAAAGGGUAAAACCUUUCUAUUAUGCCCCGAAAGUGUAAAUUUGGAACGAAUCGAUGUGAACGUUCACAAGAACCAAAACCGGAACAAAUUAUACUACUCAUUGCGCCGUAACAGUAUAACUUUGCAACUAGUACUUUUUCUCAUUCAAUCGAACAAAGAGCAAAACCUAAUUAUAUUCUUCUAUUAUGCCCCGAGAGUGUAAAUUUGGAAUGAAUCGAUGUAAACGUUCACAAGAACCAAAACCGGAACAAAGCUAGACUACUCAGUUGAGCCCUAACUGUAUAACUUUGCAACGAGUACUUUUUAUCAUUCUAUUGAAUAAGUAGUAAAAGCUUUCUAUUAUGCCCCGAGAGUGUAAAUUUGGAACGAAUCGAUGUAAAUGAUCACAAGAACCAAAACCGGAACAAAGUUAUACUACUCAGUUGAGCCCUAACAGUAUAACUUUGCAACUAGUACUUUUUCUCAUUCAAUCGAACAAAGAGCAAAACCAAAUUAUAUUGUUCUAUUAUACCCCGAGAGUGUAAAUUUGGAACGAGUCGAUGUCAACGUUCACAAGAACCAAAACCGGAACAACAUUAGAUUACUCAGUUGCGCCAUAACAGUAUAACUUUGUAACGAGUUCUUUUUCUCAUUCUAUCGAACUAGGAGUAAAAACUUUCUAUUAUGCCCCGAGAGUGUAAAUUUGGAACGAAUCAAUGUAAACGAUCAAAAGAACCAAAAUCGGAACAAAAUUAGACUACUCAGUUGCGCCGUAACAAUAUAACUUUGCAACUAGUACUUUUUCUCAUUCAAUCAAACAAAGAGCAAAACCUAAUUAUAGUGUUCUAU
This 1873-nucleotide long non-coding RNA is filed under the name Ananas comosus (pineapple). RNAcentral's name for it is "long non-coding RNA (ACOM_LNC038843)". The record is from RNAcentral. Lineage: Eukaryota; Viridiplantae; Streptophyta; Magnoliopsida; Poales; Bromeliaceae.